UACAGGGGGGGCAAGCGUUGUUCGGAAUUACUGGGCGUAAAGGGUUCGUAGGUGGCCAACUAAGUCAGACGUGAAAUCCCUCAGCUUAACUGGGGAACUGCGUCCGAUACUGGAUGGCUUGAGUGCAGGAGAGGAAUGCGGAAUUCCAGGUGUAGCGGUGAAAUGCGUAGAUAUCUGGAGGAACACCGGUGGCGAAGGCGGCAUUCUGGACUGUAACUGACACUGAGGAACGAAAGCCAGGGGAGCAAACGGG
RNAcentral lists this ribosomal RNA (253 nucleotides) under uncultured bacterium. RNAcentral's name for it is "partial 16S ribosomal RNA". It matches the Rfam family "Bacterial small subunit ribosomal RNA", at positions 524 to 776 of the family's 1533-position model. The record is from RNAcentral.